Alligator mississippiensis (American alligator) is the source of this 5850-nucleotide long non-coding RNA. RefSeq lists it as uncharacterized. The record is from RefSeq and is a predicted model, not a curated record. NCBI's taxonomy places the organism in Eukaryota, Metazoa, Chordata, Crocodylia, Alligatoridae. The transcript has 2 exons.
UAUAGGUUAUUAUGUUUUAAUUGUAUUAUAAGUAAAAUUAAUUUUAUUUUCCAAAUAAAAAUAAGGGCAGAAUUUUAAAUAUAUUAAAUAAAGCUGUUUUAGUUUGAAAUGUCUCUUGUACUUCUGAGGAAAGACUAAAUGAAUCAGUGACUGUAUUGUGAUUGUACCCUCUAAACUAUCAUGUUCAAUGACUAUUUUAGUUUAUAAUUCAAAGGGGAUAAAAUUGUUGCUGAGGUUUCUAACAUGCUGGAGCAUUGUUAAGUGUUGGGAAAGCUGUGUUUAGCUCUGCUAGAAAAAUUCCAGCUGCUUCUUUUCAGAAAAUCUAAUUUAGGGGUGAGGGUUUUUUGUCCUGAGCUGUUAAGAUUUUUAGAACAGUAGUGCAUUUGCUUUCUUUCUCAUCCUUCUCUUAAGCACUUGGAUAUAUGCCUGCCCUGAUGAAUCCAAGUUUCAUAUUGAGGAGAAAAAGUUUUGAGACAUUAAGCUGCCUCUCUCUCAAUUGAACAAAUUCAGAAAGCAUCAGUGACGGUAAACCUCCUAGAAAUGGUCUAGAAAAGCAGAUGGCUUGGCAGUGAUGACAUUUGCAACUCAGCUGAUGUUUUGUGAAUGAGAAUAAAGACAAAAUGGAGUGGGUAAUGAUCUGGGAGAAGGCCUCAAAGUUUGGGUGGAGAUACUUCUUUUCUCCAAAUUUCUCUGGGCAAUCUCACUUGCUCUCCUCAGGAACUCCUGCCUCACUACAAGAGCCUGAAACUGCACAGAGUCCUUGCAGAGGUUUCCUGAUUUUCAUGGAGAGUGACAGAAACAAAGUCUGUGUGUUUGUGUGUAGAAGUAAUUUGAAAUUUGAUUAAGAAUGUCAGCAUAGAGACCUUCUUAAUCAAACUUCCACUUACUUCCAGUUACAGAGGAUAUUGUCCAAUAUGAUUUACAGAGGAGCAAUAUGCAGCAAGCUGUGCUCGAUUUUACCACUCUGUUGGCCGGUACAGUGUCUCAUUUUUCUGGGACUUGCUCAUUUGUGGUUGCUUUGAUCAUUUGAACAUGAAACUUGAAGUGGGUCCCAACAAAUAUUUCAGAAUGUUAACCCUUAAGUGACUGAGUAACCUGAUUUCCAGACAAGCAUGGCUUUCUUCUGGCUUUCACAAGGAAAGGCGUAUUCAUCCUGGAAUCAGAUGAAUUCUUGUCUUCAGGACUUCACAGGAGCUUCUUACUUUUGGGGAAUGAAUACAGCACAAGUCUCCAAGUCCUGAUCUCUGCUGUCUCCCUGGGAGCAUGAACGGUGCAAAUGUAUGGAAGGGGCAUCAGUGCCUGAAUGGCUAAUUGGAUAGCCCAAGGCAGAAAAAAUGAAGAAAGCCCGUUAUGCUGAAGGCCAGAGACUAGUGAGACUUUUCACAGAUCUUGGGAUGUUCAGGAAAUGCAGGGAAGAGAAGAAACUAUGCAUUUUGCUGGCUCUGAAUCCCUCAAAUAACUUUUCUUGUUAUUAAAGGCCUGUCUUGCGGGCAGGAAGCAGCUUCUUUUCCUUCCAGUAGUUAUGCUAUCUAUUAGUCAUGGAGAGCUGACAGCUUGCUUUUCCCAACUAAAAAAGCACAGAAGAAGAAAUAGUCUGCCUACUAAGGAUGAAAUAAUAUUUAAAAAUGCUUUUCUAAACAAGGAACUGAAGAAAAGUUUAAUGUAACAUGGAUUUUUCCUGAUGAUGCAAUAUUUAUAGCUUUAAAUUUGAACAAUGCUUUAUAGAACAGGGACAGUUUUGCAGUCUUGAAACUUCUGUGACCUAAAUUAAAUGCAGAUUUGUGUUAAAUUUUGUUAAUUUAGUCACAUGUUUGGGAUCUGACACAUUUUAUCCCGGAGGUAGAAGUCCAUGACAGGAUGUGCAAUUCUGAGGAUCUGGGAUUAAAUUCCUCAGAACCCAUUGUGCUCACUAGGAUCUGUAAAGCUGGGCCAUGCAACCUGGCACUGGGGACUGUGGCUGUUGAUGCUGGACUGCAUGAAGUGGCUUUUAAUGUCUUGGUGCAUGACCUGACCCUGGGAUCAUGAUCUUGGGCUCCAGAUGUGCUGGUAAAUUUAAGGCUUUGCCAUGCUGCCCCACCUGGUGUGGGGAUCUGAUGGACUUCCUCUGCACCAGAAAGCUGAAAGCCUUGCCAUACAUAGGCACACUUCAGUUGCUUCCAGUAUUUUAUGCCUGAGUCCUUCACAGUUUAUCUACCUUGGUAUAAAUAAUGCAACUAGGCUGUUUUCUCACAUAACACAGUGAAAAGGUAGCUUACAACUUAUCUACCCACUGGCAUUUCCAGUAUUCCCCAACAAACAUGAUCAAAAGAGAAAAUCCUGAUGGUCCUAGUGCUGUCAGAUGGCCAAAACAUGACAAAAUAACUGAGCUUCUGGUACACAGUGCGCCGAAGGCAGAAGCCGUACAUGAUGAUUCUGCAGCGCCUUGCAUGUUAUGGAGCCUGACUUUUGUAGUAGUAGCUUUCUUCCCAGAAGCACAAGACAGGAUUUGAAGGCUACCUAAGAGUGUGGAGGGUAUGUUCAAUGGAUCCCCAAACUGUCCACUAGCCAAGGACUGCUGAGAAAGGAAGGGGCAUGGUAGGCUGCCACUGCUCCUGGAGUAUAUUGGUUAUAGGAGUAGUUGCCCCACAGUGGCACAAGGAAUCUGUUUCUGGGUGGAGGAAAAAAAAUGGUUCCUAUCUUCUGCCCUCCCGUUCCCCAAACAUCAGAGGCCCUCUGCACAGUGGAAUGAAUGCAGUUCCAUUUUUCAGGAUUGAGGAAGUAGGACAAAUAUAUUUGCCUUCCUGGUAAUGGCACUGAUCACUUCACCACUGGCACUUUUUGUAUUAUGUGGAGGAUAGCAGCCUUGUUUCAGGGCUGCUCUGGAAGAAACCCAUUUGUGACUUAAGUCUGUCUAAGUACAGGGCUUUAAUGUGGUCUAAAUAGUCCAGCCUUUCCCUCCCAGGGAGUAGCCAGGUUGCAGCAUGACUGCUUUGCCAUGUCAUCACUUGCACCAAGUCCCUUUCCUGUGGGGACAUAGAGGGACUUCAUGUACAUUGGCUCCUUCAUGUACAAUAUAAUGAUGCACAUUCCAGCUUUCUGUUUUCCCUUUAAUUUGUUGAUGUUUUCAAUAUACUGCUCUUGGCCAAAAAUAUCAGGGAUGACAUUUCCCAUGAUACCUAAAUUAAAUCCAGUUAAAAGCUAGGCUUUGACCUUUACUGAUGUCCAUUAUAAUACUGGAUGUCCAGUCAGCAAGAGGUGAUCUAAAUAAAAUACCAAGCUCUCUCACAUUACUUAUUUCUACCAGUGUUAUUACUUGCUCCGAAAAAUAACAAAAAUGAAAGCAGUAAUGAACUAGCCCUUAAUGUGGGUAACUAAAAAGAAUUAUUCUGUAGCUUCUGCAGAUUUUCAGGCCUUUUUUAGCAUGCAUUUAUUUCUGCACCAUAAAAUCAGUAGUUUCCUGUGUUCCAAGUGUGCGCCUACUUCCAUGCAGAAAAUAAGAGUGUUGCAUGGAUUUUUCAUGGACAAAGCAUGGCAUAGGCAGCAGCAGCCAUUAAAAACAUUGGGAAUUUUGCCUUAGAAAAAUGGAAUGAAAAUGAAGGAAAGACUUUGCUAUUUGAUUGUAGCUGGGCUACAGUUGAUCCUUGCUGCUUUCCUACCAUAAUCCCCCUUACAAAUGGGCAAAUUCCCUCAACCCCCUUGCAAUAAUUAAAAAUAUUUAUGUACUUGUCAGUUAUUUUAGCCACACUUAAGGAUUUUUUUUUCAGAACUAUUUGUAUAAUUUGGAUGUUAUACCUAAAUUUGUACCUCAAACUUUCAUUGGAUAUUGGACACCCUAUGUAAAGGUCAACAUUCUGACACUGAUACAUUAAGACUUCCAUGUUAAUGUUACGGGCUCUAACGUGAUCUUGGUUGCACAAAACCUUCAGAAGAAACAUAGUGGGGAGACUCUGUGCUGAGUCUAGUACAUGCAGCACAGAACUCUCCACUCAAGAAGAAGGGGACUAUUGUGGCUGUAAGUCACCUUUGUGUCCAACUGAUUCAGGGCUGCUCUGGAAGACACCCAUUUGUGACUUAAGUCUGUCUAAGUACAGGGCUUUAACAUGGUCUAAAACUUCAGAUUUUUUCAGUGUCAUCAGUGCCAUCUACCCAACAUGCUAUUCCAGGGCUUAUAAGGAUGGGUAUAUUCUGGCGACCUCUUGAGCAUGUAUUGACUAUAUGUUAUAGAAGCAGGACAUUGGCUGCUGUGGUUCCCUGGCUUUACCUGUGACAAGUUAGGAUGCUAGGUCUGUGUUGUGUCAGGGCUGAGGGUAGUCUUAUGUGGAGUUUCGAUUAUGGUUGUAUGGGAUGGUUUGGGUAGGCAUGAUCCUGUCUUGGGUAGGGGGCUGGAUUAGAUGAGCUCUGGAAGUCCCUUCCAGCCCUAUUUCUCUCUGACUCUAUGAAAGUAUUGAGGGAAUGCUUCCUUUGCCAGAAUUGGGGAUAUUGGGGUCUGUUGACACUAUUUUGGCCAGAGCGGAGACCAAAAUGGUAUAAACAGCUAAGAGACUUUUGUAGUUAUUGUUUUAUGUGAAAAGCAAUAAAGCUAAAAUGCAUAGAUAAAACCAUAUUAUAUAUAAAAGUAUAUAAAGCCAUGUUAUUUUUGUCCAUACAGUGAUCUCUUCCUACCUGUAGACUGCUCCUAGUUCCAGAGAAGUCACUGGCAAAACUCAAGUUGAACUCAAUGUGAACAGAUUCCAUCUCAUUCCAACUGUUCACUCCACGUACAUAGAAUUGUUUUACCUCUGAAAAUAUUUUCUGGUAGGGUAGCUUUAUUGUUAAUAGAUUUGUGUUUGGCAAUCAUUUUCAUACUUGGAUUUACUAAGUCAGUAAGAGCUCAAAGCCCCACAAGCAAUCCCAAGCUGUUUCCUGACCUUUGACAAAAUGUUCUCAUGGUUUUGUUGUUUAAAAAAAGAAGAAGUAGAGGCAGAGUUUCAGAAGACACAGACUAUUGUACUAACGACGGUGAUUAUUUUUGUUAUGGUCUAAUCCCAUUUUAUAUGGAACUGUUCCAUACUAUAGAAAUAAAUAUAUUAAUAACUUAGUCUAGCAACAAGAAACAGUCAUGCCCUUUCCAGUAAUGUACUGUGAGAAACCACUUUGAAAUAAAUAUAUGAAUAAAGAUGGGUGCUUUAAUAUGCUAUGGCUAAAUUGCCUAAAACUGUUCUUUCUGAGUAGAAAUAUCUAAAAUACCGCAGGUUUGGGUCUAUUCUGAGUAAAACUGACUACAAUGGAGCUAUGCCCAUUUAAUCAAUUUGGCUCCUCACAGUGUGCUAUUUCUCAGUUAUUAUUGGGCAUGUUCUGCUGUGGGCUACUGGAGGAAAUCCCUUCUGACUUCAUUGUGAGUUGUACCUAUGUAACUGAAAGUAGGUUUUGAAUCUAGACAGAUACUUUUAAAAUAAGUCUCAAUACUAAAUAUUUCUUCAGCAGCAUUGAAUUACACAUGCCAAUUUCAGGAAUUGCUACUCACUAAACCCCAAACAGCUAGGUGCACACAACUCUGUAAGCAAAGUGAAAAAAUAAUCAAUGCUUUGAAACACACACAUCUGUGGUAAUAUUCUGUUACCCCAAGAGGUGUGAGCUACCUGACCAGAAAGGAUCCCAGGUAUGAAAAUUAUUUUUGAGUCAGACAGAGCCCUUUGACUUAUCCCACAAAGGCACUAGUGUGAGAGCAACUGCAGGUUGUUUUGGGGGCGACUGAGACUUGCCUGCAUGAGGGUUCUUGUAGUUUUCUUAGGAACUGAAAUACCAUCAUCUUCUCUAUGACUUUUCUUUAAAUGUGGAUGUGAGUAACCAAAUGCUGACCCUGAGUCAUUAUAAAAUAGUGUAUUAUGCAAA